UACAGAGGUCUCAAGCGUUGUUCGGAUUCACUGGGUUUAAAGGGUGUGUAGGCGGGCUAUUAAGUCAGUGGUGAAAUCUCCGGGCUCAACCCGGAAACUGCCAUUGAUACUAUUAGUCUUGAAUUCUGUUGAGGUAGGCGGAAUAUAUCAUGUAGCGGUGAAAUGCAUAGAUAUGAUAUAGAACACCGAUUGCGAAGGCAGCUUACUAAGCAGAUAUUGACGCUGAGGCACGAAAGCGUGGGGAUCAAACAGG
This 253-nucleotide ribosomal RNA is filed under the name uncultured bacterium. RNAcentral describes it as "partial 16S ribosomal RNA". It matches the Rfam family "Bacterial small subunit ribosomal RNA", at positions 524 to 776 of the family's 1533-position model. The record is from RNAcentral.